GAGUUUGAUCUUGGCUCAGAGCGAACGCUGGCGGCAGGCCUAACACAUGCAAGUCGAACGCCCCUUCGGGGGAGUGGCGGACGGGUGAGUAACACGUGGGAACGUGCCCUUUGGUACGGAACAACUGAGGGAAACUUCAGCUAAUACCGUAUAAGCCCUACGGGGGAAAGAUUUAUCGCCAUUGGAGCGGCCCGCGUUGGAUUAGGUAGUUGGUGGGGUAAGAGCCUACCAAGCCGACGAUCCAUAGCUGGUCUGAGAGGAUGAUCAGCCACACUGGGACUGAGACACGGCCCAGACUCCUACGGGAGGCAGCAGUGGGGAAUCUUGCGCAAUGGGCGAAAGCCUGACGCAGCCAUGCCGCGUGAAUGAUGAAGGUCUUAGGAUUGUAAAAUUCUUUCACCGGGGAAGAUAAUGACGGUACCCGGAGAAGAAGCCCCGGCUAACUUCGUGCCAGCAGCCGCAGUAAC
RNAcentral lists this ribosomal RNA (467 nucleotides) under uncultured Alphaproteobacteria bacterium. Its description in RNAcentral is "bacterial SSU rRNA". It matches the Rfam family "Bacterial small subunit ribosomal RNA", at positions 9 to 524 of the family's 1533-position model. The record is from RNAcentral. Lineage: Bacteria; Pseudomonadati; Pseudomonadota; Alphaproteobacteria.